This is a long non-coding RNA of Podarcis raffonei (Aeolian wall lizard), 2681 nucleotides long. RefSeq lists it as uncharacterized. The record is from RefSeq and is a predicted model, not a curated record. Lineage: Eukaryota; Metazoa; Chordata; Lepidosauria; Squamata; Lacertidae. The transcript has 2 exons.
GAAAUCUACAGGAAAAAGAUUUGCAGAAAUGUUAGCAUAUGUCCAUAAACAAAACCAUGAUCAAGAUUAAGGCCACAGUAUUUAAUCUGAAUAAUGCCUUGUUUACAUUAGGGAAAGGUCAUGUGUUCUACUACAAGCACUUAGCCAAUUUGAGCUAAGAGGGCUAAUACAACUUUUCAAUAUCCAUAUGGAAUCCUUUGUUUUUUAGGAUAAUGUUUGAACUUGCAGAAAUGGAGCAAAGUUUUUGUUCCAUGAGAAACAAUAUAAAGUCUGAUGCAAAGACAGAUAUUGUGUGCUACAUUGUGCUAAGUGUCCAUGACAACACUGAACAAGCAAACUAGGUUUCCCAUGUCACACUAUAUUUGCUCAAGAUUUAAUUUUAAAACAUGUAAUAAAAAAAAGUAGCAUUUCCCCAUACUUUUUGCUUUAAAUGGCAAAAAUCAACGGCACCUCACAUAAAUUUCACUGUAGUGUGAUUUACCUGUCAAUAGUCAGAUCUAGUCCACACUGUUCCCUGAGCUGAGGAAGUAGCUCCUCUUUUGACUGCCGCACAGUCAUUCCUUUAGCAAAAACAGAAUCUAGAAGAAACUUGCAGGGCUGCGAAAACAAAUGUAAAAUUAUUAAGCUUAUUAGAUAAAUCACUCUCUGACACACUCAUAAAAGGUGAAGUUAUAAAAUACAGGGCUGCUGCCAUAGCCUCCAUAGCAUUGAAAAAAAUACCCCAUGGUUUCCACACAUGAUCACCACCAAUGUGACAAAGACUAUUUAGGAUUUCUGUUUAUCAGGUAUGCAGAACUCAGUAAUAAAGCAAUGCAAUUUUUAAAAAGGUUGUUGUUAUGUGUCAUGUCCAUUUAAUGAUUAAGGAAAAUACAUGUCACUGUCUUGUGUUGUACAAAGUCAACAUCAAUGGUUUAACCAAUUAUUGUUAGUAAUGGGGAAACAAUACUGGACCAGUUUAUUUUAUGUAUUUCCUCAUGCUCAUAUUCAACCAUUCCUUCCAUGGGUGCAGGGAGUAGCUAGGAAACAAAUAUUGAGUGCUGGUUCAUACAACACAGUAAUCCAAGGCUGAUACGGUUUUUUGUUCCCAGUUCAAGGAUGAGUGGAGCAAAGAAGAGCAAUUCAGCAGCAUGCAAUAGUAAGCCAUGGUUUAUGGUUCACCAUGACAUGUGAGCACAGUCAGAGGCUAUUUAGAAUGAUAAUGACACGUAAUAGAAAUGAAUUACUUUUAAUGUGCUAAAUCACAUGCAAUAAUGCAUUCCACUGAAUUUUUGCUUCUAUAAUCUGCACCUUCUCUGUGGCAACUAAGUGACAACAGAUUCAUGCCACAAUUUAUAUGUUAAAUGCACAUCUUUUCCCAGAGAUAAUUUCUGUUUUUUGUCACACUGGCUCCCAUAAAAAGAUGAUGCACAUACUCAAAUAAUUAAACUGUAAAUGGUCCAACUUUCAGAUGAUAAGCUAGCCCAAACACAAGUUUUUUCAAGCUUUACUUACCUCUGGAUCAUUUACCAAGAGCUGAUAAACCUUGACUCUGUAUUCACCUUUCUUCAAUGCUCUCCCAAGCCGAAUUGUUAUCUUUUAAAUUAGGGGUGGGAAAAAUAGAAACAAGAUUAGAUGUUAGCUGUCUCUUAUCAUCAACAUGGAAUAUAGUCAAUACCAGGCAUGUCAAGUGGCGGGGGCUGUGGAGUCUUCAGCCCCCCAAAAUUUUUCAAGAAAGGGCCUGGGCCUCCCCCAAAAUCCUGUGGCCCGCUCCACCUCCUUGCUGAUGUUGCACGGGCAAGAGGAGGCCAAGUGUAGAGCCCAGAGGCUGCACUUCGCUGGCUCCUCCCCGCCUGAUAUUGUGCGGGGAGGAGGCCGAGUGCAGAGUACAGCUCCGCACUCCCCAUUCCCCACCCGGUGUGUGAGCACCAGUAUCUCGCUGGCAGGACGCCUGUGCAUCCUAGCUAACCCGCUACGUGGGAGCAGGAUACGUGAAGUGGAAUGUGACAACACAUCACACAAUACAUCCCCACAAUGUGGGGGUCAAGUCGACGCCCUUAGGUCAAUACAGCAAGAAUCAUAACCACCAGAAGGCCCACAGAUUUUUGUUAUUUUGAUAUUACAGGCAUGAGGAAAUGGUUGCACCGCAAAAUUUAGAGUCUCAGAUUUUAGGAGGGUGAAGGAAGGUGUGGCAAGAAGCUUUAAAAAGGGUGUUCAACAGACUCAAGUCAGGGAUAUUUUUUUUAAUGUGGAAUAUACGAUUUGGUUUAGAUGACCCGCCAAAGUCAUCUAGCUACAACUAAGGUGAAGAGAAAAUACAGUUUCAAUUAUGGAAUAUAUAUAUUUAACAAAGUUUCAUAAAUUACCCUAGUUGUAGAAUGUGGUUUUUCCUAUGUAGCUACUAAGUCCCUAUAUUGCAACACAGAGACAAAUGCUUCACAUGCAAAAUAUCUGAAUAAUCCCCAUAUUCUGUACCUUACUACAUGUAUUUCAGUAUUUAACAGCAUAUUUUGCUAACCUUGUUGUCAUCUGAGAAGGAUGAAAGGGUCUCAUUCAGCCGAACACUCUCAAACUCCUGAUUGCUGGCAUAAACUCGAAAGACCUUAAACUGAGAGGAUGGAACGCCAACAAAAGGCUCCAAGUGUUGUUUGAAGGCAGAGAGCGUAAUUCUUUUAUCAACAUGAAUCAAUAGCCCUAAAGCGAAA